GCAAGUCGAGCGGACAGAUGGGAGCUUGCUCCCUGAUGUUAGCGGCGGACGGGUGAGUAACACGUGGGUAACCUGCCUGUAAGACUGGGAUAACUCCGGGAAACCGGGGCUAAUACCGGAUGCUUGUUUGAACCGCAUGGUUCAAACAUAAAAGGUGGCUUCGGCUACCACUUACAGAUGGACCCGCGGCGCAUUAGCUAGUUGGUGAGGUAAUGGCUCACCAAGGCAACGAUGCGUAGCCGACCUGAGAGGGUGAUCGGCCACACUGGGACUGAGACACGGCCCAGACUCCUACGGGAGGCAGCAGUAGGGAAUCUUCCGCAAUGGACGAAAGUCUGACGGAGCAACGCCGCGUGAGUGAUGAAGGUUUUCGGAUCGUAAAGCUCUGUUGUUAGGGAAGAACAAGUGCCGUUCAAAUAGGGCGGCACCUUGACGGUACCUAACCAGAAAGCCACGGCUAACUACGUGCCAGCAGCCGCGGUAAUACGUAGGUGGCAAGCGUUGUCCGGAAUUAUUGGGCGUAAAGGGCUCGCAGGCGGUUUCUUAAGUCUGAUGUGAAAGCCCCCGGCUCAACCGGGGAGGGUCAUUGGAAACUGGGGAACUUGAGUGCAGAAGAGGAGAGUGGAAUUCCACGUGUAGCGGUGAAAUGCGUAGAGAUGUGGA
This 663-nucleotide ribosomal RNA is filed under the name Bacillus sp. FJAT-4499. RNAcentral describes it as "bacterial SSU rRNA". It matches the Rfam family "Bacterial small subunit ribosomal RNA", at positions 57 to 702 of the family's 1533-position model. The record is from RNAcentral. Lineage: Bacteria; Bacillati; Bacillota; Bacilli; Caryophanales; Bacillaceae.